Molecule: unclassified non-coding RNA, 329 nt
Filed under: soil metagenome
Description: partial contains 5.8S ribosomal RNA, internal transcribed spacer 2, and large subunit ribosomal RNA
Rfam family: 5.8S ribosomal RNA (bases 1-120)
Source: RNAcentral
GAUGAAGAACGCAGCGAAAUGCGAUAAGUAGUGUGAAUUGCAGAAUUCAGUGAAUCAUCGAAUCUUUGAACGCACAUUGCGCCCUCUGGUAUUCCGGGGGGCAUGCCUGUUCGAGCGUCAUUAUAACCACUCAAGCUCUCGCUUGGUAUUGGGGUUCGCGGUUCCGCGGCCCCUAAAAUCAGUGGCGGUGCCUGUCGGCUCUACGCGUAGUAAUACUCCUCGCGAUUGAGUCCGGUAGGUCUACUUGCCAGCAACCCCCAAUUUUUACAGGUUGACCUCGGAUCAAGUAGGGAUACCCGCUGAACUUAAGCAUAUCAAUAAGCGGAGGA